UUCUAUCCCAAGGAAAUCAGGGCUCUGUUAAUAAGGAAGAAGAGAAUGAGAAGACAACUAACAAUCUUUGCUACAAUUGCUAAGCAAAAGGCACUUGAACACCUUCCACAGAAGAGGCAGACAUGAAAGAAAUGAAAGGUUCAAAAAUGGAAAAAUCACGGCAUAAAAGGUUGAGAGGAGAACAAUGCAACUGAACAAUGAAGAUAAAUAUAAAUAAUUCUUAAAUGUCUAGAUUCCUGGAAGAGGAGCAGUGUACCUUCUACAUAUGGCCAUGGCAGAGUAACUGGGAUCAGAUUUCCUUCCCAAUAUAAACAAUAAGAAAACUAGACGAAAGAUAUAAAACAACUGUUUUCAAACAUUGAACAACUGGCAGUGCAGGAUUGUGAUCCUUGUGAGCAGUGAGAGUUACCCGAAGCUCAGCAUCCGUGAU
This 430-nucleotide long non-coding RNA is filed under the name Homo sapiens (human). RNAcentral's name for it is "HSALNT0291516". The record is from RNAcentral. Lineage: Eukaryota; Metazoa; Chordata; Mammalia; Primates; Hominidae.